UACAGAGGUCUCAAGCGUUGUUCGGAUUCAUUGGGCGUAAAGGGUGUGUAGGCGGUUGUUUAAGUUUGGUGUGAAAUCUCCCGGCUCAACUGGGAGGGUGCGCCGAAUACUGAAUGACUUGGAGUGCGGGAGAGGAAAGUGGAAUUCCUGGUGUAGCGGUGAAAUGCGUAGAUAUCAGGAGGAACACCGGUGGUGUAGACGGCUUUCUGGACCGUAACUGACGCUGAGACACGAAAGCGUGGGUAGCAAACAGG
RNAcentral lists this ribosomal RNA (254 nucleotides) under uncultured bacterium. Its description in RNAcentral is "partial 16S ribosomal RNA". It matches the Rfam family "Bacterial small subunit ribosomal RNA", at positions 524 to 776 of the family's 1533-position model. The record is from RNAcentral.